Molecule: transfer-messenger RNA, 122 nt
Filed under: bacterium
Lineage: Bacteria
Description: partial transfer-messenger RNA
Rfam family: transfer-messenger RNA
About the family: Bacterial tmRNA, also known as 10Sa RNA or SsrA, is named for its dual tRNA and mRNA-like properties. Its role is to liberate the mRNA from a stalled ribosome.
Source: RNAcentral
GGGGGCGUUCAGAUUCGACAGGGUUAUAGGGUCAUGAGUUGCAGGUCGGGGAGCUUGAUCCUUCGUUAACAAGUAAGCAAAAACACAGAUGCAAAUAAUGUCAUCAAAUUCCCUAGCCGCAG